UCUCCACUUUCUCUAAUGUUAUGAUCACUAACAUGAAUCUUGUUUAAUGCCAUGUCAUACCACACAGCAGAAAAAGAUGGAGACCACAAAAUUCUGCCUAACUCACAGCUUCAGAAUGCUGUUUUGAACCUUACUCCACUGGGUCAGAGGAAUGGGGAGGAAGCAACGACAGCCACACUACAUCCUGUCAUGGCACAAGGUUGCAGGGACUUAUGAAGCCAUAAAAGAUCCUCGUCAGUUUCUCCAGCUCCCAUUGGUGGUCAAAGAUGAGGCUGUCACCACGAGGCCUCCACCCAUGUAGAUUCUCUUCACCACGCACAUAUGUUGAACUUGUGUCUAGAACCCGACGCUGGCGACGCUGAACUCCUGUAUUCAGGGAAUAAAGUGCUCCAUUAAUGUU
This is a long non-coding RNA of Zootermopsis nevadensis, 400 nucleotides long. RefSeq lists it as uncharacterized. The record is from RefSeq and is a predicted model, not a curated record. Lineage: Eukaryota; Metazoa; Arthropoda; Insecta; Blattodea; Termopsidae.